GAAUAGUACCGUGAGGGAAAGGUGAAAAGAACCCCGGGAGGGGAGUGAAAUAGAACCUGAAACCCUACACUUACAAGCUGUGGGAGCGCAUUAUUCGCGUGACCGCGUACUUUUUGUAGAACGGGCCAACGAGUUACGUUAUGUGGCAAGGUUAAGCACUUAAGGUGUGGAGCCGAAGCGAAAGCGAGUCUUAACUGGGCGCCAUAGUCACAUGACGUAGACCCGAAACCGGGCGACCUACCCAUGAGCAGGAUGAAGCGAAAGUAAAAUUUCGUGGAGGUCCGAACCCACGUACGUUGAAAAGUGCGGGGAUGACUUGUGGGUAGCGGUGAAAUUCCAAUCGAGCUCGGAGAUAGCUGGUUCUCCCCGAAAUAGCUUUAGGGCUAGCCUUGAAAUUUAGAGAUGUGGAGGUAGAGCACUGAAUGUCCUAGGGGGUAUUGCACUUACCGAAGACUAUCAAACUCCGAAUGCCAUUAUCUUUUGUUCAGGAGUCAGACUAUGGGUGAUAAGGUUCAUAGUCGAAAGGGAAAGAGCCCAGACCGUCAGCUAAGGUCCCUAAAUGUAUGUUAAGUGGUAAAGGAUGUGGGAUUGCACAGACAACCAGGAUGUUGGCUUAGAAGCAGCCACUCAUUUAAAGAGUGCGUAAUAGCUCACUGGUCGAGUGAUCCUGCGCCGAAGAUUUCCGGGGCUAAAACAUACUACCGAAGCUACGGCAUCAUAUGAUGAUGGGUAGGGGAGCUUCCCAUGCAGGCUGAAGCGAUACCGUAAGGAGUCGUGGACAGUAUGGGAGAGAGAAUGUUGGCAUGAGUAGCGAGAUGAGGGUGAGAAUCCCUCAGGCCGUAAACCCAAGGUUUCCAGGGGAAGGUUCGUCCUCCCUGGGUUAGUCGGGACCUAAGCUCAGGCCGAAAGGCGUAGGCGAUGGACAACAGGUUGAGAUUCCUGUACUACCGAUAAUCGUUUGAGAGAAGGGAUGACACAGUAGGAUAAGCUGAGCACACUGUUGGUUAUGUGUGUCUAAGCGUUGAGGCAGACUAGAUAGGCAAAUCCGUUUAGUUAAUGCUGGGGCGCGAUGGGGAGCGAAACUAAGUAGCGAAGCAGCUGAUUUCACACUGUCGAGAAAAGUCUCUAUCGAGAUUAAAGGUACCCGUACCGCAAACCGACACAGGUGGGUGAGGAGAGUAUCCUAAGGCCAGCGAGAGAACUGUUGUUAAGGAACUCGGCAAAAUGACCCCGUAACUUAGGGAUAAGGGGUGCCCCAGCAAUGGGGCCGCAGAGAAUUGGCCCAAGCGACUGUUUACCAAAAACAUAGGUUUCUGCUAAGUCGCAAGACGAUGUAUAGGAGCUGACGCCUGCCCGGUGCUGGAAGGUUAAGGGGAUCUGUUAGAGCAAUCGAAGCAGUGAUCUUAAGCCCCAGUAAACGGCGGCCGUAACUAUAACGGUCCUAAGGUAGCGAAAUUCCUUGUCGGGUAAGUUCCGACCCGCACGAAAGGCGUAACGAUUUGGGCACUGUCUCAACAACAGACUCGGUGAAAUUGUAAUCCCGGUGAAGAUGCCGGGUACCUGCGACAGGACGGAAAGACCCCAUGGAGCUUUACUGUAGCUUGACAUUGGGUUUCGAUACUACAUGUACAGGAUAGGUGGGAGACUAUGAAAUCAGGGCGUCAGUUUUGAUGGAGUCAUCCUUGGGAUACCACCCUUGUAGUAUUGGGACUCUAACCAUAGGCCAUGAAUCUGGUCUUGGGACACUGUCUGGUGGGCAGUUUGACUGGGGCGGUCGCCUCCCAAAAGGUAACGGAGGCGCUCAAA
RNAcentral lists this ribosomal RNA (1806 nucleotides) under human metagenome. Its description in RNAcentral is "bacterial LSU rRNA". It matches the Rfam family "Bacterial large subunit ribosomal RNA", at positions 493 to 2314 of the family's 2925-position model. The record is from RNAcentral.